Molecule: microRNA precursor, 207 nt
Organism: Oryza sativa Japonica Group (Japanese rice)
Lineage: Eukaryota; Viridiplantae; Streptophyta; Magnoliopsida; Poales; Poaceae
Rfam family: MIR812 microRNA precursor family
Source: Rfam
AAUAAGUGCAGUUUUGCACUAUUCACGUUCAACGUUUGACCGUUCGUCUUAUUUGAAAUUUUCUAUGAUUAGUAUUUUUAUUGAUAUUAAAUGAUAAAAUAUGAAUAGUACUUUAUGUGUGACUAAAUAUUUUUAAUUUUUUCACAAAUUUUUCAAAUAAGACGAACGGUCAAACGUUGGGUACGGAUAUCCACGGCUGCACUUAUU